RNAcentral lists this ribosomal RNA (393 nucleotides) under uncultured bacterium. RNAcentral describes it as "partial 16S ribosomal RNA". It matches the Rfam family "Bacterial small subunit ribosomal RNA", at positions 523 to 918 of the family's 1533-position model. The record is from RNAcentral.
AUACGGAGGAUGCGAGCGUUAUCCGGAUUUAUUGGGUUUAAAGGGUGCGUAGGCUGUGCGUUAAGUCAGGGGUGAAAUGCCGUCGCUCAACGACGGAGCUGCCCUUGAUACUGGCGUGCUGGAGUACGGAUGCCGUUGGAGGAAUGAGUGGUGUAGCGGUGAAAUGCUUAGAUAUCACUCAGAACACCGAUUGCGAAGGCAGCUGAGGAAGCCGUGUCUGACGCUGAGGCACGAAAGCGUGGGGAUAGAACAGUAUUAUAUACCCUGGUAUUCCACGCCGUAAACGAUGAUGACUAACCGUCGGCGAUAGACAGCCGGUGGCCAAGCGAAAGCGAUAAGUCAUCCACCUGGGGAGUACGUCGGCAACGAUGAAACUCAAAGGAAUUGGCGGGU